Molecule: ribosomal RNA, 674 nt
Filed under: uncultured Acidobacteriota bacterium
Lineage: Bacteria; Pseudomonadati; Acidobacteriota
Description: bacterial SSU rRNA
Rfam family: Bacterial small subunit ribosomal RNA
Source: RNAcentral
GAUUAGCUAGUUGGUGAGGUAAAGGCUCACCAAGGCUGCGAUCGGUAGCCGGCCUGAGAGGGUGAUCGGCCACACUGGAACUGAGACACGGUCCAGACUCCUACGGGAGGCAGCAGUGGGGAAUUUUGCGCAAUGGGGGAAACCCUGACGCAGCAACGCCGCGUGGAGGAUGAAGGUUUUCGGAUUGUAAACUCCUGUCAGUGGGGAAAAAAGCUUGCGACCUAAUACGUCGAGGAGCUUGAUUGUACCCGCAGAGGAAGCCCCGGCAAACUCUGUGCCAGCAGCCGCGGUAAUACAGAGGGGGCGAGCGUUAUUCGGAAUUAUUGGGCGUAAAGGGCGCGUAGGCGGCCGAUCAAGUGGAAGGUGAAAUCCCUCGGCUCAACCGAGGAACUGCCUUCCAAACUGACUGGCUUGAGUCCGGGAGAGGUGAGUGGAAUUCCCAGUGUAGCGGUGAAAUGCGUAGAUAUUGGGAGGAACACCGGUGGCGAAGGCGGCUCACUGGACCGGAACUGACGCUGAGGCGCGAAAGCGUGGGGAGCAAACGGGAUUAGAUACCCCGGUAGUCCACGCCGUAAACGAUGAGUGCUUGGUGUAGCGGGUAUCGACCCCUGCUGUGCCGAAGUUAACGCAUUAAGCACUCCGCCUAGGGAGUACGGUCGCAAGGCUGAAACUCA